Pelobates cultripes (western spadefoot toad) is the source of this 475-nucleotide non-coding RNA. The record is from the annotation of a GenBank genome assembly. Lineage: Eukaryota; Metazoa; Chordata; Amphibia; Anura; Pelobatidae.
CAUACACUCUCAUUGACAAACACACACUCACUAACAGACAUCAAACAGACUCACUAACACACUCACUAACUAACUAACACAUUCAGUAAGACACACACAGUAACACACUCACUGACACUCACUAGCAGACACACACACUAACACUCACUCUAACACUCACACACACUAACACUCACUCUAACACUCACACACACUCACACUCACUAGCAGACACACACACUAACACUCACUAGCAGACACACUAACACUCACUCUAACACUCACACACACUAACACUCACUAGCAGACACACACACUAACACUCUAACACUAACACUCACACACACUCAAACACUAACACUAACACAUGUUUUUGUUUUUUUAAUUCAAUCCCCCCAGCCUCCUUACCUUUUGGAGUGCUGGGGGGAUUCCCUGGGGUCCAGUGGUGCUGCUGGGCUCCUGGGCGGGUGGCCGGUUGGGCAGGCGGGUGCGCGAG